Molecule: long non-coding RNA, 1266 nt
Organism: Ailuropoda melanoleuca (giant panda)
Lineage: Eukaryota; Metazoa; Chordata; Mammalia; Carnivora; Ursidae
Exons: 2
Source: RefSeq, a predicted model, not a curated record
UCCUCAGUGGGAAGCCUGCCACUCCCCCUGCUUCUGCUCACUCUCCCUCUCUUUCUGACAAAUAAAUAAAAAAUCUUAUUUUAAGUUAAUUUCAGGUGUACAACACUUCAGUAUUUGAGUAUAUUUCCAAAUGUUCACCAGGAUAAGUCUAGUUAACGUCCCUCACCAUACAUGGUUACAAAGGUAAGUGCUAUUUUAUCCUCACUUUUCAGAUGAGGGAGCUGAGGCACAGAGAGGCUAAAUUACUGCCCAUCACAAAGAAUAAAAUGAAUUUCUCUUAAAGCAUAAAGUGUCUGGUUUUCAUCAUGGAUGAAUACGUAUUUGUCUAUUUCCUAGCACUAUUAAAUAUUUGCCAUAUUUCUAAAAGGAGCCAUAAUGUACCUAGUGAACAAUGAUGGUGCUUUAUGUUUGUUCAGCACACUUUUACUUCUCAAGGCACUUUCAUAAUAGAGCCUGACCCUACAGGUAAAAACCUGAUGUCUCUUGGCACUACCACCACAAUACUUGUAAACAGCGCGAGAACAAUAGGACCCUUUUUGAAAUUGGAGUUAAUAUAAGAAAAGCAAAAUGUUAAUGACUUUUCCCUUAGGUAUCCAGAAUUUGAAAUUAUUCUAGAAAUAUUAUUUUAUGGUUUUAUAACUGUAUUAACUACUACUAUAUCUAUUUAAUUUUAAAAUGUAUGAAAUAGAAAAAAAUGAAAUUAUUUAUUUUGUCUUUUGAGCUUUUUUUUUUUUAAAUUAUUGUUUCCAGCUUUGAAUAGAGUCCUGGGAGCCUACUUUCAUAUGCCAAACUUUGCAACAAGCAGGACUUUCAUAAAGGGAAACACUGAAAUUGGAUCUCUUUUCUUAUUUGACUCCCCAGCCCUUUCUCUAACUCCAUCCGGUAAAAGAUGUGAUUAAUAGUCUUCAGCACCUCAUGCUGGGUAUCUCUAUCAGGACCUGUGGAUGAAGCUAUUUCCAAGUGAACGAGACCAGUAAACACAAUAGGUCAUUGACAGUCAACAUUUCUAAAGUAAUCAGAACUUCAAAAAUUAUUUCUCAUUUCCCAUCAGUACCAAAUCACGCGAGGAGAGGAAAUCGGCAAAAUAAAAGAUAACAAGGAAAGCAGAUUCAAGAUCCUUCCACUUGUUGGAGUGAUCAUCCCCCAGAAUAUAUUACAAAGCCACGGUCAUAUGGAGAGAUGAUUGAAGUGUACAUAGCUAUAAAAUGUUGGGGGGUAAGCAUGGAGAGGUGUGUCUGGUAGUUCAUUAAUAAAAAUAUUAUAUUU